ACUGUUUUCCAAGUAGUACUUUCAUAGAAACUGUUUUGAUAUGAUGAUUCAGUCUCUUCCUGUGAUUCAGUCUUUGCCUGUCUCUCCAAAACUUGUUAUGGUGGGAACAAUUCCCCAUCACUUCCCCUUCUAAAGUCAUAUGCUGGCGACCACGAACCCUGACCUUAACUACCUGGAACCAGCUUCUUCUGCUGCUAGAGUGCUAGUUUCCUAAACAAGUAUACAGAUUCUAACCAAACCUAAUUUACAACUGCGCCAGUUCCCCUGGGUUCUCUAUAGACUGUUUCAGAAUUUUUUCAGCUCUCUUUUUCUUAUCAUCCUUCUCACCAUCCUUUCCAUGCCAUGGGCCGAUCUUCUCAACACCCUUAUUCUGUAAGCUCAAUUCUUGUGCUGUACCCACGGACUUCUUGCCAAUCCCAAUCUUAAAUUGUACAGCAGGUCUUUGAUUCAAGAGAACCCGCUUCUGACCCUCUUCGGAAUCACAUAACCUGGACUUCCUUGCUUCAAUAGCUGGAGCAAACGUGUCCAGAACUGACACGUGAUUACCCAGAAGAGAAUUUUGAUUAAUAGGAUUUCUCACAGCAGCUUCAUUUGAAAGCUUAGCCUGAGGAACAACACGGGACACUUCCUUCUCU
RNAcentral lists this unclassified non-coding RNA (635 nucleotides) under Hevea brasiliensis (rubber tree). The record is from RNAcentral. Lineage: Eukaryota; Viridiplantae; Streptophyta; Magnoliopsida; Malpighiales; Euphorbiaceae.